RNAcentral lists this long non-coding RNA (667 nucleotides) under Homo sapiens (human). RNAcentral describes it as "SATB1 antisense RNA 1". The record is from RNAcentral. Lineage: Eukaryota; Metazoa; Chordata; Mammalia; Primates; Hominidae.
GCCUGAACUUUCUCAUCCAACACCCGUUCAAGUCGGAGGAUGCUGAUUAAUUCAUGAUGGAAAGGUAUCAAUUUCACAGCCCAGACCUCUACAUUCUUGAAAUGCUCUUCUCAUGGGAGACAUUAAAUAAGCUUUGAAUUAACUGAAGAACCAAUGAUGUGAUCCCUGGAUACUGGCAAUUGUUGCCCAAGAAAACCUCUCCCCUUGCUGUGGGACUGCUGGGCACCCAAAUAAUGCACCCAAAUAAUUUGAUAGCUCUUGUUACACAGCUCUUCUUGGACUAAAAGGCCCUCAGCAUUCCUGUCAAUUUCUACACUCCUGAAGCUUCAUCUGACCUCUGUGGAUUCUAUAACUCAAAGACCCAGGCUGACGGCUGGUGGAAUAGCUACCAUCUCAAACAUGGCGUGAUGCUGCAUCAGAGAGAAAAAUAAGCUCUUGCAUUGACAAUGAAAUGUCUACCCUGUAGUGACUUGUGCUUACUUCCACUCACAAGUGAUUGCCCAGAGCUACUUACCUGGCUCCAAUCUACCACUGGGACCUUGUAUUGAAGACAGCGUAACCCCCAAGAGGAAAGGAGCUUGGAGCCCUGAAUCAGAGUAGAAGACAGGCUGAAUGAAUACCAGCCUUGGACUGUUGUGUGAAUGAAAAACAAGUUUUGAGAUUUGUG